This 490-nucleotide ribosomal RNA is filed under the name uncultured bacterium. RNAcentral describes it as "partial 16S ribosomal RNA". It matches the Rfam family "Bacterial small subunit ribosomal RNA", at positions 30 to 507 of the family's 1533-position model. The record is from RNAcentral.
AUUGAACGCUGGCGGCAGGCCUAACACAUGCAAGUCGAACGGUAACAGGAAACAGCUUGCUGUUUCGCUGACGAGUGGCGGACGGGUGAGUAAUGUCUGGGAAACUGCCUGAUGGAGGGGGAUAACUACUGGAAACGGUAGCUAAUACCGCAUAACGUCGCAAGACCAAAGAGGGGGACCCUCGGGCCUCUUGCCAUCGGAUGUGCCCAGAUGGGAUUAGCUUGUUGGUGGGGUAACGGCUCACCAAGGCGACGAUCCCUAGCUGGUCUGAGAGGAUGACCAGCCACACUGGAACUGAGACACGGUCCAGAGUCCUACGGGAGGCAGCAGUGGGGAAUAUUGCACAAUGGGCGCAAGCCUGAUGCAGCCAUGCCGCGUGUAUGAAGAAGGCCUUCGGGUUGUAAAGUACUUUCAGCGGGGAGGAAGGGAGUAAAGUUAAUACCUUAGCUCAUUGACGUUACCCGCAGAAGAAGCACCGGCUAACUCCGUG